This 295-nucleotide unclassified non-coding RNA is filed under the name uncultured fungus. Its description in RNAcentral is "sequence contains ITS2". The stretch from base 1 to 52 matches the Rfam family "5.8S ribosomal RNA", at positions 103 to 154 of the family's 154-position model. The record is from RNAcentral. Lineage: Eukaryota; Fungi.
AACGCACCUUGCGCCCUCUGGUAUUCCGGAGGGCAUGCUUGUUUGAGUGUCAUUAAAUUCUCAAAGAAAAGCUAGCUUUUCUUUGGAUGUGAGGGCUUUUGCUGGCUUUCGGGUCUGCUCCCUUUAAAUGCAUUAGUGGGAUUCCUUUGUGGAACGGUCACUUGGUGUGAUAAUCUAUCUACGCCGCUUUGACUCGGAAGCAAAACCUAUGGGAUUCUGCUCGAUAACCGUUCCUUCGGAACAAUCUUAAUGACCAUUUGACCUCAAAUCAAGUAGGACUACCCGCUGAACUUAA